GAAAUGCAAAAGUUAAGAAAGGAAGAAGUAAGGAAAGAAGAGUGAACAAGAGUGAAAGAAGAAAGGAAAGAAGAGAGUGUCACAAGAGUGGCUAUGGAUAGACAGUAAAGAAAGAGUGUAGAGGCAAAAUACUGAAAGAAGGAGAGAAAAUGGAGUGAAGCAGAGAGAUGGAGUGUGAGAAAGAGGAGUUGGAGAGGGAUAUAAAAAAACAAGUGGAUGGAGGUUUUACAGAGAGUGGUUGCUAGGUUGUUGCUAGGGUAAUUGAGGUAGCUGCUAGGGUAGUCAUGGUGGUUGCUAAGGUAAUUUAAGUGGUUGCUAGGUAGUCAUAGUGGUUGUUAUGGUGGUUGCUAGGUUGUCAUUAUAGUAGUGGUUGCUAGGGUAAUUGAGGUGGUUGCUAGGGCGUUGCUAGGGUAGUCAUGUUGGUUGCUAUGGUAAUUGAAGUGGUUGCUAUGUUGGUUGCUAGGUAGUCAUAGUGGUUGCUAUGGUGGUUGCUAGGUUGUCAUUAUAGUAGUGGUUGCUAGGUUGUUGCUAGGGUAAUUGAAGGGUUGCUAGGGUGUUGCUAGGGUAGUAAUGUGGGUUGCUAUGGUAAUUGAAGUGGUUGCUAUGCUGGUUGCUAGGUAGUCAUAGUGGUUGCUAUGGUGGUUGCCAGGUUGUUGCUAGGGUAAUUGAGGUGGUUGCUAGGGCAGUCAUGGUGGUUGCUAUGGUAAUUGAAGUGGUUGCUAUGCUGGUUGUUAGGGAAGUCAUGUUGGUUGAAAGUAAGUCAGAGAAAGCUGACAUAAAAAGUUGAAAAAAGGGUGGGAAUUGAUGGACAGUGAUCAUAAGAAGAAAGGAAAGAAGAGUGAACAGGAGUGGCUAUUGAUAAUGAGAAAAAGAGAGGGUGAAGAGGGAAAAUACUGAAAGAAGGAGAGAAAAUGGAGAGAAGCAGAGAGAUGGAGUGUGAGAGAAAGUAGACUGAGGGAUAGAGAGAAAGUAAAAAAAAAGCAGAGUAUGGAAGGUGUCUCUUAAUAUUCCUAGUU
Clupea harengus (Atlantic herring) is the source of this 1016-nucleotide long non-coding RNA. Lineage: Eukaryota; Metazoa; Chordata; Actinopteri; Clupeiformes; Clupeidae. The record is from Ensembl.